CUAGCGUUGUUCGGAAUCACUGGGCGUAAAGGGCGCGUAGGCGGCUUGAUACGUCGGGGGUGAAAGCCUGUGGCUCAACCACAGAAUUGCCUUCGAUACUGUCGAGCUUGAGACCGGAAGAGGUAAGUGGAACUGCGAGUGUAGAGGUGAAAUUCGUAGAUAUUCGCAAGAACACCAGUGGCGAAGGCGGCUUACUGGUCCGGUUCUGACGCUGAGGCGCGAAAGCGUGGGGAGCAAACAGG
RNAcentral lists this ribosomal RNA (242 nucleotides) under uncultured bacterium. Its description in RNAcentral is "partial 16S ribosomal RNA". It matches the Rfam family "Bacterial small subunit ribosomal RNA", at positions 535 to 776 of the family's 1533-position model. The record is from RNAcentral.